Xenopus laevis (African clawed frog) is the source of this 388-nucleotide long non-coding RNA. RefSeq lists it as uncharacterized. Lineage: Eukaryota; Metazoa; Chordata; Amphibia; Anura; Pipidae. The record is from RefSeq and is a predicted model, not a curated record. The transcript has 3 exons.
UCAAGCACGACCUUCAGGCAGCAGAAGGUUUCAAGAUACAAUUAACACUGAUCCUAACAUGGACCUAAGGAACCUCCGACAGAAUAAAGUCAGCCAUCAGGACGUAGAUAUGCUGCUGAGAGAAGGCGCCAAUAGUUUUGGGGAGUCCCUGCAGAAGAGACUGUUAGAUAUUGAAUCAUUGUACUGUAAGGUGAGAUCCCGUCACAGCUUCAUCCAGGCGCUGGUCCGGCGAAUUAGAGGCCUCCUGCGAGUAUCCAGAGCUUCAUGAGAUCGUACACAACUGUUAUAACUACAAAAAAACCCUUUUUUUUCACUUUUUUCAGACAUAGUACGGAACUUUUUUAUUGCCCCUUGCGAAUCAAUUAAACAAAAUAAUAAUAAUCCCUUA